CCUACGGGAGGCAGCAGUAGGGAAUAUUGCUCAAUGGGGGAAACCCUGAAGCAGCAACGCCGCGUGGAGGAUGAAGGUUUUCGGAUUGUAAACUCCUUUUUUUAGAGAAGAUAAUGACGGUAUCUAACGAAUAAGCACCGGCUAACUCCGUGCCAGCAGCCGCGGUAAUACGGAGGGUGCAAGCUUUACUCGGAAUCACUGGGCGUAAAGAGCGCGUAGGCGGGAGAGCAAGUCAGAUGUGAAAUCCUAGGGCUUAACCGUAGAAUUGCAUGUGAAACUGUUAUUCUAGAGUAUGGAAGAGGUAGGUGGAAUGCGUGGUGUAGGGGUGAAAUGCUUAGAGAUCAAGAAGAAUUCUGAUUGCGAAGGC
RNAcentral lists this ribosomal RNA (367 nucleotides) under uncultured bacterium. RNAcentral's name for it is "partial 16S ribosomal RNA". It matches the Rfam family "Bacterial small subunit ribosomal RNA", at positions 338 to 722 of the family's 1533-position model. The record is from RNAcentral.